GAGACAGCAGUAGCCGCGGGAAUACGUAGGGUGCAAGCGUUAAUCGGAAUUACUGGGCGUAAAGCGUGCGCAGGCGGUUAUAUAAGACAGAUGUGAAAUCCCCGGGCUCAACCUGGGAACUGCAUUUGUGACUGUAUAGCUAGAGUACGGCAGAGGGGGAUGGAAUUCCGCGUGUAGCAGUGAAAUGCGUAGAUAUGCGGAGGAACACCGAUGGCGAAGGCAAUCCCCUGGGCCUGUACUGACGCUCAUGCACGAAAGCGUGGGGAGCAAACAGGAUUAGAUACCCCGUAGUCCCUGUCUCUUAUACA
RNAcentral lists this ribosomal RNA (308 nucleotides) under uncultured bacterium. Its description in RNAcentral is "partial 16S ribosomal RNA". It matches the Rfam family "Bacterial small subunit ribosomal RNA", at positions 505 to 808 of the family's 1533-position model. The record is from RNAcentral.